CGGGCAAGGGACGGCAGCGGCUGCCUGUUUUGGCUUCGGCGCAGCGCAGCCACCAUGCGCGUCAGGUGUCUCCAGCGGCCGCUGCUGCUCGGCUUCUUUGUCUGGCUGGCUGCACCCGCGUCCCCGCGGCGAGCAAAUUUCAGC
Molecule: non-coding RNA, 144 nt
Organism: Python bivittatus (Burmese python)
Lineage: Eukaryota; Metazoa; Chordata; Lepidosauria; Squamata; Pythonidae
Source: RefSeq, a predicted model, not a curated record